UUAGUAUGUAAAGUGUAGAGUGUGCACUCAUUGGAGACUAAGAAAUGUUUGUGUGCAGAGUGUGCACUCACUGGAGCAGCCCACACUUGGAUUUGCAUGUGCACUUGCUGCUUUUUUUUUUUCUUUGUAACUUCUCACUUUGAACUACCAACUUGUAAUAGUUUAAUUUUUGUGCUUGUUUUUUUCUUAGAAGUUUAAGAUAUGUUUUCAUUAUAUUGUAAUAUUGUAUGGUGUGGAAUGUUUUUAGAGAUGAUUGCCUUUUAUAGAGAAUCUUGGUAUUAAUGGUAUAUUAUUUUUACUGAGAAAAAAUUGAAAUCUAACAUAUAAAAUUAGUAAAAUAAUUUGAUAAAACUUGAGUAACGGUUAAUGGUUAAUCGGGGAACUGUAUCGAAAAACCGAUAAACCGUUUAUGCGGUUGAUAAAUGCGUAAAAUAAUAUAUUUAUCUCCCCUUAUUUUAUUAUUAUAAGUAUGUUUAUAUUAUUAUUUUAAUGCAUUUCAUAUAUUUUUAAUAUUAUCAAAUAUAAUAUGAUAGGUUUUUAUUAUUUACUAAUAUUACUUAAUUAUAAUAUUUUUUGUUUCAUGAUGAAUCUUAGUCCAAGGAAUGAAGAAAGAGUCAAAGUCCAAAAUGCAAAUCCUGCAGAAUAUAAAUGCAAAACCCAAAUAGAAGACAAGAAGACAAAGCCCAAAAGAAAGAAAAAAUAAAAAUAAAAAAAAGAGAAAAGAAAACAGAAGAACAAAAUCAAGAGGAGAAGCACGUGAGAAUUGAAGCAAAGAAAAGAUAACAGAGGAACGCAUCAUCUCCCUCUUCGGUCCUCUCUCUUCGACACCCCAUCAUCCUCCUUCAAACCGCCUCUUUCCAUCACCCUUCUCCACCAAUGAAGAAACACACAACAACUUGCACGACACAGCAACUUGCACGACACAGCAACUUGCAACCAAUCACGACCAACCGUCGACCUGCAGCGCCGCAAAGCCGCAAAGGAGAAGGCGGUUUCAACCCGAAACUUGGGGCCUAAUUCUCCUCUUUAAUUGGUUCGAAAUUCUGCAUUUUGGGCGGCGAAUUGGGGUAUAAAUACCCCAUUGAAGGUUCCGAAAAAAGGAUGCAAGAAUUUCCACAGAAAAUUGAGUGAUAAAAAAUCAGAGAAUUUCGCGAGGUUUCGGGGGCUAAUUUGGAGUGCGCAAGUUCGACGGAGGACAGCCUUGGGUUGGAGUCCUAGCACACAAACCGGGGAGGGUGAAGUUCAAGUUCGAUUGUAGGUGCGAAAUCCGAAUUUCGAAGGCGAAUUUCCGCGCUAUACAUAAGUUCAAUUUCAAGUAAAGAAGUUAAUUGAAUUUCAUCCAACUUUCUUUCAGAAUCUCGAAGGGAAUUUCAUAUUUUAAGGUUAGUUUUCUCCCCAAUUUUUUGUUUUACUAGUGUAAUUUUAGAUUUGUGCAACAUUCAAACCUAUUUCGUACUAUUAUAUUACCAAUUUUCGAUUUUGAGAAUUAGGUUCGAUUUGUGUAAAUUUGCAUGAUUUUUGGUUGAUUUCUGCGAAAUUAUUUUUGAGGAUUAAGUUGGAUUUGUUCAAUUCAAUAAUACAUUUUCCCCCUUGGUUCGAUUUGCCCCCAACCUUUGUGUAGAUCUUUUGUCAUUUUCACAUUAUUUGAUAGUGUUGGUUAGAAUUCCAUAUAGAUCUAAUGGACUUCAUGUUUAUUGAACAAAAUGAUUGCCUAUUUUUCAUGUAACUGGGAUGAAUUAAUGGCUAUUGUUUCAUGUAAUUGGGAUGAAGAGGUUGUUAUUGUUUCAUAUAGCUGGGUUGAAACAGUUGUGCUUAUUUUAUGGAUUUGGCAUGAAGCUUACAAACAUAGCCUAGCAUCUUAUGUGUAUCUCUCUGUCAGAUUGCAAACCAUAACUAUAAGGACUGAAGAAGCAACAUUCUUUGUCUCAAAAGACCACGACCCUGAACACAGAGGAACCCACACUGCAUCAUUUUUUUAUAAUAAUUGGGUGUCAGCCUGUCAGGUAGCAUGGUACACUACAAUAGCAAGAGAGAAUAGUUGUCAAUGAUAAUUGAUUGAGAUCAUCAUUAUAUAAUCAUCCCCUCCAUCUCUUUAUUUAGCCUAGAGAAAAGUUUCGUAGUUCCACUAAACCAGUAACUAUCAAAGUCUUAACUACACAUGAGAAAAUUUACAUGGAGAAAUGCUGCAAAGUUGGUAUUGCACCCUCACAAGUGAACUGUAGUUUUUGUCAGGGUGCUCUAUAAAUAAACCACAUUAACUUAUGUAUGCAGAUGAAAAAGAAGAUGAAGACACAUUCGACCUCCCUCACUUUGCUUUAGAACAGUUAUUAGAAUCAUUUUAUAACUAGUGAAGUCUUUGUCUACUAAUGAUGAGGACCACAUAUUAGUUAGCUUUACAAUUAAAUUUGAUUGUAGGUAAUCCAUGUAGGCCACAACUUCUCAGUAAGUACAUGAAAAUAACAUCUGCCUAGUUAUCUUAUUUGGUGUUUUAUUUGGUAAUGACUUAGUAAACAUAGAAAAUUGGAAGAGCAAUGUCUAUUAGUGUAAGCUGUGUACUAACUUGCUAGUCAUUUCUGUGGUGGGUGAAACAACACCCAGUUAAAAAAUCUCCAACCCUUGAACCGUGAUACUCUCUAAGGAACCAGAACUUCAGGUAGCAACUCUUCUCAUUCCCUCCCUCUCAUCUCACAAUCUAUAUUACUAUUUUUUUAAUCAAAACAUUAUGCCACAUUUGACUUCGUCUAAUCUUGAUAAAUUUGCUUAUAAUUUUAUGGAGGUAAAAUUUUCUAUUUUUUAUUCUUACCCUGCUCCUUGCAUUUAAUUCAAUCAUUUCAUAAUUUACUUAUUUCUUAUUAACUUAUGUAUGCAAAUGACAAAUAAACUAAAAAGAAGACUCGUUUAGACGGUAGGAAAGUAACAUUUUAUGCCAGGGCUACUCGUGCGGCUAGGAGAUCAUCACAGGAUCCUGAUUCGGGUGUUGGCGGUUUCAACGAGGAACAUGUUUUCGAACCAGAGCAACCCGAGGAAGAUCAUCCCAGGAUCAUGAUUUGGGUAAAACGUCCUCGUACUUGUGAUUGGAAGUUGACUGCACCAGCACCAGGAGGACCACUAUCUACAGAUUUGCUACGUGUUUAUCAAUGUCAUGUAGAUUGUUACAUUUGGGAGAAAAAUGUGAGUACUUAUGUGUGGUAGAUUGGUUUGUUAUCAGAAUUUCAUCAAAUUUGUAUCGGAAAAAGCAAUAAAUGAAAUAUCAAUAUGGUAGUUUUUUAA
Long non-coding RNA from Beta vulgaris subsp. vulgaris (sugar beet), 3270 nucleotides. RefSeq lists it as uncharacterized. NCBI's taxonomy places the organism in Eukaryota, Viridiplantae, Streptophyta, Magnoliopsida, Caryophyllales, Amaranthaceae. The transcript is spliced from 2 exons. The record is from RefSeq and is a predicted model, not a curated record.